AAAAGGGACGAACAGAAAAUCAGUUUUUGUGCAAUUAAACAACAGAAAUGGCAAGAGCCAACUACAAAGUAUCAACCGUUCUUUUCAGCUUUGUUCAUGUUGUUCCUUCUCUCCGUUUACGUGGCAGAAAGUAGAAUACUUUCAUCUGAAACUGGAACAAAUUCUGUUCUAGUGUGUAGUAAGAUUUAUGGUGCAAAUAUUGGAGACACAUGCUUCAGCAUUAUGGGAAAUUUCAGUGUGACCCCUGAGGUUUUUACUGCUUUCAACCCUAACCUCAAUUGUAACAAAAUGUUCGUUGGUGAAUGGAUAUGCCUUGAUGGUUCCUCCAUCUAAAGUAUAAAGCAAGGGAUUAUCAAGCUCAAGAAAUAAAUACUCACAAUUAAAUCAGUACUGUCUGAUUUGCGAAUAAAGAGUAAAGCUAAUGUAUGAUUAAAAAAGCAAUUUAAUCUAGCUUUUUCGUAUUGUUUCGGGUUUUCUUUUCA
This is a long non-coding RNA of Nicotiana tabacum (common tobacco), 482 nucleotides long. RefSeq lists it as uncharacterized. The record is from RefSeq and is a predicted model, not a curated record. Lineage: Eukaryota; Viridiplantae; Streptophyta; Magnoliopsida; Solanales; Solanaceae.